GACGAACGCUGGCGGCGUGCCUAACACAUGCAAGUCGAACGAAAAGACGCGGCGUUUGCUGGGUGCUCGAGUGGGGCACGGGGGAGUAUAACGCGAGGAUAACCCCCUUGACUGUGGGGUAACUUUAGGGGAAAGGGGCGAAUAUCGGAGAGAAUCUACUGCACCAUGGUGGGGGAUGGAGAGAUACGGCGGUUGUGGAUGGUCUGGCGGCUUAUGAGCUGGUUUGUGAGGUAGUGGCUUUCCACGGCUUUGAAGGGUAGCCGGCCUGAGAGGGUGACCGGCCACAUUGGGACUGCGGUACGGCCCAGACUCCUACGGGAGGCAGCAGUGGGAAAUAUUGCACAAUGGGCGGAAGCCUGAUGCAGCAACGCCGGGUGCGGGAUGCCGGCCUUCGGGUUGUAAACCGCUUUCGCCUGUGACGAAGCGUGAGUGACGGUAAUGGGUAAGGAAGCACCGGCUAACUACGUG
Molecule: ribosomal RNA, 468 nt
Filed under: uncultured bacterium
Lineage: Bacteria
Description: partial 16S ribosomal RNA
Rfam family: Bacterial small subunit ribosomal RNA
Source: RNAcentral